GACGAACGCUGGCGGCAUGCCUAAUACAUGCAAGUAGAACGAUGCCGGCGGAGCUUGCUUCUCUGGAUUAGUUGCGAACGGGUGAGUUACGCGUAGGUACCCUGCCUGGUAGCGGGGGAUAACUUUUGGAAACGUUAGCUAUUCCCGCCUAACAGUAGUUAUCGCAUGAUAUCUACUUGUAAGGUGCACUUGCUUCACUACUAGAUGGCUAUGCGUUGUAUUAGCUAGUAGGUGUGGUAACGGCUCAACAAGGCGACGAUGCAUAGCCGACCUCAGAGGGUGGACGGCCAGAUGGGGAGUGAGACACAGCCCAGACUCCGGCGGUGGGCAGCAGUAGAGAAUCUUCGGCGAGGGAGGGGAGUCGGAUCGUGCAACGCCGCGGGAGUGAUGAAGGUUUACGGAUGGGAAAGCGCUGUAGUAAUUGGAGAACGAAUGUGAUAGUAGAAGGUACGCACUGGAACGGAACCGGACCAGAAAGGGACGGUAAACUACUG
RNAcentral lists this ribosomal RNA (494 nucleotides) under uncultured bacterium. RNAcentral's name for it is "partial 16S ribosomal RNA". It matches the Rfam family "Bacterial small subunit ribosomal RNA", at positions 28 to 506 of the family's 1533-position model. The record is from RNAcentral.